UGCCAGCAGCCGCGGUAAUACGGAGGGUGCAAGCGUUAAUCGGAAUAACUGGGCGUAAAGGGCAUGUAGGCGGAUAGAUAAGUAAGGUGUGAAAGCCCUGGGCUCAACCUAGGAACUGCAUCCAAAACUAACUCACUAGAGUACGAUAGAGGGAGGUAGAAUUCAUAGUGUAGCGGUGGAAUGCGUAGAUAUUAUGAAGAAUACCAGUGGCGAAGGCGGCCUCCUGGAUCUGUACUGACACUGAGGUGCGAAAGCGUGGGGAGCGAACAGGAUUAGAUA
Molecule: ribosomal RNA, 279 nt
Filed under: uncultured bacterium
Lineage: Bacteria
Description: partial 16S ribosomal RNA
Rfam family: Bacterial small subunit ribosomal RNA
Source: RNAcentral